Molecule: ribosomal RNA, 521 nt
Filed under: uncultured bacterium
Lineage: Bacteria
Description: bacterial SSU rRNA
Rfam family: Bacterial small subunit ribosomal RNA
Source: RNAcentral
AAUGGGCGAAAGCCUGACGCAGCACGCCGCGUGGAGGAUGAAGGCCCUUGGGUUGUAAACUCCUGUCGGCUGGGAAGAAAUCGCACGGUGCUCAUACCACCGUGCGUUGACUGUACCAGCAAAGGAAGCCCCGGCUAACUCUGUGCCAGCAGCCGCGGUAAUACAGAGGGGGCUAGCGUUAUUCGGAAUUAUUGGGCGUAAAGGGCGCGUAGGCGGCCCUGCGUGUCUUCCGUGAAAUCCCUCGGCUCAACUGAGGACGUGCGGAAGAAACUGCAGGGCUCGAGUCCGGGAGAGGGGGGUGGAAUUCCCAGUGUAGCGGUGAAAUGCGUAGAUAUUGGGAGGAACACCGGUGGCGAAGGCGGCCCCCUGGACCGGUACUGACGCUGAGGCGCGAAAGCGUGGGGAGCAAACGGGAUUAGAUACCCCGGUAGUCCACGCCGUAAACGAUGGGCACUUGGUGUCGCGGGUAUCGACCCCUGCGGUGCCGAAGCUAACGCAUUAAGUGCCCCGCCUGGGGAGUA